Molecule: ribosomal RNA, 423 nt
Filed under: uncultured bacterium
Lineage: Bacteria
Description: partial 16S ribosomal RNA
Rfam family: Bacterial small subunit ribosomal RNA
Source: RNAcentral
GUAUUUUGGAAAAUGGGCGAAAGCCUGACAGCCCCAUCGCGCGUGUGUGAAGGAGGUCUUUGGAUUGUAACGCCCUUUAAGUUGGGGGGGAGGGCAGUAAGCGAAUACCUUGCUCUUUGGAGGUUAACGCCAGAAUAAGCACCGACAAACUCUGUGCCAUCAGCCGCGGGAACACAUGGGGGGCAAGCGUUAAUCGGAAUUACGGGGCGUAAAGCGCGCGUAGGGGGUUAAGUAAGUUAGAUGUGAAAUCCCCGGGCUCAACCUGGGAACUGCAUCCAAAACUGGGGGGCGAGAGUAGGGGAGAGGAUGGUGGAAUUUCCUGUGUAGCGGUGAAAUGCGUAGAGAUAGGGAGGAACACCAGUGGCGAAGGCGACCACCUGGGCUAAUACUGACACUGAGGUGCGAAAGCGUGGGGAGCAAACA